UGCGUAGGCGGAAUGAUAAGUUAGUGGUGAAAGCCCCCGGCUCAACCGGGGAACUGCCAUUAAUACUGUCAUUCUUGAGUAUAGUUGAAGUGGGCGGAAUGUAUCAUGUAGCGGUGAAAUGCUUAGAUAUGAUACAGAACACCGAUAGCGUAGGCAGCUUGCUAAACUAUAGCUGACGCUCAGGCACGAAAGCGUGGGGAGCAAACAGGAUUAGAUACCCUGGUAGUCC
This 229-nucleotide ribosomal RNA is filed under the name uncultured bacterium. RNAcentral describes it as "partial 16S ribosomal RNA". It matches the Rfam family "Bacterial small subunit ribosomal RNA", at positions 568 to 796 of the family's 1533-position model. The record is from RNAcentral.